CUGCUUCUGGGUCGGGGUUUCGUACGUA
This 28-nucleotide non-coding RNA is filed under the name Callithrix jacchus (white-tufted-ear marmoset). Lineage: Eukaryota; Metazoa; Chordata; Mammalia; Primates; Cebidae. The record is from RNAcentral. RNAcentral also lists the same sequence under 5 other names.